CACGUAGGGGCCAAGCGUUGUCCGGAAUUAUUGGGCGUAAAGCGCGCGCAGGCGGUCUCUUAAGUCUGAUGUGAAAGCCCACGGCUCAACCGUGGAGGGUCAUUGGAAACUGGGGGACUUGAGUACUGGAGAGGAGAGUGGAAUUCCAUGUGUAGCGGUGAAAUGCGUAGAUAUAUGGAGGAACACCAGUGGCGAAGGCGGCUCUCUGGCCAGUAACUGACGCUGAGGCGCGAAAGCGUGGGGAGCAAACAGG
Molecule: ribosomal RNA, 253 nt
Filed under: uncultured bacterium
Lineage: Bacteria
Description: partial 16S ribosomal RNA
Rfam family: Bacterial small subunit ribosomal RNA
Source: RNAcentral